RNAcentral lists this unclassified non-coding RNA (236 nucleotides) under uncultured Talaromyces. RNAcentral describes it as "sequence contains ITS1". The record is from RNAcentral. Lineage: Eukaryota; Fungi; Ascomycota; Eurotiomycetes; Eurotiales; Trichocomaceae.
UUGAAUUAAACCCUGGUUGGGUUGUGCUGGCCUCUAGGGGCAUGUGCACGCCUAGCCACCGUUUUCAACCACCUGUGCACCUUUUGUAGACCUGGAUACCUUUCGAGGCAACUCGGUUUGGGGAUCGCUGUGCUGUCAAAGUCAGCUUUCCUUACCCGUCCGGUCUACGUCUUUAUAUACCCCAUAAGAAUGUAACAGAAUGUCUAUUUACUGGCCUUCGUGCCUUUAAUCUAAUA